Harpia harpyja (harpy eagle) is the source of this 3054-nucleotide long non-coding RNA. RefSeq lists it as uncharacterized. NCBI's taxonomy places the organism in Eukaryota, Metazoa, Chordata, Aves, Accipitriformes, Accipitridae. The transcript is spliced from 5 exons. The record is from RefSeq and is a predicted model, not a curated record.
UGUGCCUGUGCCUCGGGAGCGUGAGGAAAAGCUGCCGCGGGUCCCUUCCCCUGCAGCAGCACCUGUUGUCCACCUUUUCUCGGGGAGGGUGAUCCACCCGGGAGAACUGAGCUCCCCGUCGCUCAUUUGCCCCCGUGGUGUGCCCGGCGCGGCACAUCGACGGGCAGAAAUUAAGCACCCCGAGGAGAGAGUCGGACCCGCAAAUGCCUGACCCGGUGGCGCCCAGGCCAGGAGGCAGGCCGUGUCCUCACGAGGACUCCCAAAGCGCCUCGGCCCGGUGCAGGUGCAGCCGUGCGAGUCCCGCGUGGCCCCCUGGGCCGGCAGCUGCCCCGCCACACGGGCCAUGGGGCAGCUCGGAGGGUGCCGAGGGGCUUUGCCUCCUCCCGGCGGGGUUCGUGCCAGUCUGCGGAGUGGAGGGAAGGUAGGGCUGCUCCUCCGAAAUCCACCGUGACAGUUGGUCUGCAAGCACUCGCUCCUCGGGAUGGGUAAGAGAUGAGUGCAGGUCAGGAUUAACAACUUUAUUUUUCAGUUAGGUGUAAAUCAGGGGAUUCAGAGCUGGUAAUUUUCCAAGGGAAGAGUUAAGUUCUAGUGGUGUCGGGCAAAAAUAAUGACUUUUACUUGUGCUUCCUUCCUCCCCCAGCCCUGCAGAGCUGCACUCCCAUCGGGUAUGAUGUGCCUCACUGAGUAAUGCUGUCCAACGUGUAAAGUGGGGAAACGCUGUUAUCAUUUGAGCAAAGAUUAUUGCAGGGUAUAUGUGGGAGGGACUGUAAUGUAGUGGUUAAAGCCUGGGAAUACAGUCCUGGUCGUUUGAGUUAUGUUCUGAACUGUGACUCACUCUGUGUGUGUGUGGUUUCAGCAAAUCAUUUAUGGCCUCAGACAAAGCAGAUUUUUCCAUUAAUUUAAAUGAACUGUAGAUUAAACAGGUCUUCAGUGGCAGAAGAAUCAACCGUUCUAUGAUUCAAAAUUAAGAUCACCUAUCUACCACAUAGGUGUUUCAAUAGUUAUAUAAACACAGCAUGCCCUGGAAUAUUACGAAGGGUAAAUUAUUGAUAGCAGAAAAGUGUUUAGAGACACUUGCCUUAAACACAGUGCCAAAGCGAGCAGCGUUCCCUAAUCCUAACCCUAACUGUAGGCUGAGCCUUCGACAAGGCCCCCAGCCGUGGCCUAGACAAAAAAGUUCUCGCAGCGCAGCACUCUUUGCAGCCUCUUUGUGCUCUUUGCAGCCUGCGUUUUGCUUCGGCAGCCCCCUCCCGGCCCUCCCCAGCUGCAGCUCUGCAUUUUCUCUUCCUCUCAACCUGAACCCUUACGCCAGCACACGUCUGAGCCUUCGACAAGUCUCCGAGUCGUUGCCCAGAUUAAAAAGUUCUCACAGCAGCAUGUUCAGGGAUGUUUGCCUUAACAGCAGGGUCAAAGCGAGCAGUACUGCAAUGCUCGGGUCUCAAGUGUGACCCCAUGCCUUGCCUGUUUCAGCAGUAUUUAGGCACGCAUUAUAAACGCUGGGUGGUGGAAAGGAUUUUUAUGCACUGUCUACUCCAAAUAUCACAGGACAGUUGGAGCUGGAAGGGACCUCUGGGGAUCGUCUAGUCCAGCAUGGUCAUGUGAAAACAGCUGCCAGUCCACGCUUCUGCAGAAAAGGAUGGCAGGCAGAGGCUGCACUGUUGCAGCGUGCCGUGGAUGCAGCAGCUUCUAAUGCAUCUGGCUGUAGACCUGUCUCAAGAACCAAAUAAAUCUUGGGCUGCUGAUAUGUAUUGGAUCCACCACGUGAUUUGUACUGAAGUCCCUUAGGGAGGGGAGAUGAUGUGAACAAAUACCACACAUUAGAAGACUUUUAACAGUGGUGCACAGAAAAGCCAAUAGGACAUUUGUGUAGAGACAAUGCUGCUGUGGAGCCAUGUGCAUCUCUAAUGAAGGAGACACAAUCUCAGUAUAGAUUCCUCUGCAAGGCAAGCUGAGGUUUCCAGGGUCCCAAGAGAUACUAUCACAAGGUGUGGUGCCCUGAUUGGAGUCUAGCAAGAAAGUAACACUCUUAUUCACCCACCCGCCCACCUUUGGCAGAUGGUCUGAGGGUCUCUCCUUUGCUUCAUGACAGAAAGUGGUUGAUUCACUUCCGCCCAGUGGUAAUUAUGUGUUGUUGCCUACUGGAAGUUCCCAUGUUGGCAUCGGAGUGGCAUGUCUGGAAGGCGUUGACUACCAGCCUCCAAGUAUCGAUGCCCAUGUGCUCUGAAGUGCCUGCCUUUAGAAACAAUGGAAGGGCAUUGCCUCUUGCCCUUGAAAGGAUGCAGAGUCUGUGUGCUUAAACUCGCCAAUGGCUGCAGCCAGAGCCCAGGCUUUGGGAGCUCUGUUUUUGUCUGACACCAUCUGACUGCCUGAGCCUUGCUUUUGAGAGCCCAGUGCUGCAGCUGAGGUGAGGUGACCCUGGUUUGGCGGGUCAGACACCCACGCUGUCGAGCCCUCCCAAACAUAAGCGGUGCCUCACCUUUGUGCUACUUUCAGCUGAAGAGAGAGAGGACUUUACCUCCUCUUCUUGUAUCAGGAAGGUCAAUCUCCGCACGGACUGCCUUUUCUUUUAAAUCUAUACAUUAAAAGGCAUCAUAAAAUGCUACAGCAUAGGGGUGCAAUUAAUGACUCUUUGGAAGCAUUGUGCGAUUACUGGCUCUCAGUGCAGUAAAUAGAAAGCAGUGAGGUUCUGGAGUUCAUUUCCAAACAGGUGAGUGGGAACUCUCAAACGAGGAGGCGAUUAGCACGUCUGCAGGUCUGGUUUCUCCUUUCCCUGAAGUGAAGGUGGGCGUUAGGCUGUGGUGUGCAACAUCCACAUCAUGCCUCAUCUAAGAUUUGCCAAUAUUCAUUUGUUGCUUUCUACUCUUUAGCAAUCAAACAGAAACUUUUCAGCUGGUACCUUCUGGGUGACAAGGUUUGAGAAAUAACCUUUCAGUCACUAUUGCAGCAUUGUGAAAAUGUUCUUAGGUGAUAUAACAGCUGCAUCACAUGAGCAGAGCACAUGGUCUCAGAGCUACCUGUACUCUCCAGUAUGGUUCAGAGAGUUUGUUACCAAAA